This 333-nucleotide long non-coding RNA is filed under the name Gossypium barbadense (sea-island cotton). RNAcentral describes it as "long non-coding RNA (GBAR_LNC006512)". Lineage: Eukaryota; Viridiplantae; Streptophyta; Magnoliopsida; Malvales; Malvaceae. The record is from RNAcentral.
CAUGAUUUAGCACGCAUAAUGGAUUGACAAUAAGGAAUAUGGUAAACCAUGAAAUUGGUGUGGAAUGACUAAAAGAUAUGGUUGUGUGAAUACUAAUGGACUAGUAUGAGAAUGGGUCAUAGUGAUGCUAUAAUGUUGCAUGUUUAAGUGUCUAAAUAUAUCAUGGGAUAUGCCAUUGAACAUAUGGAAGUGUAUGAUUGUUUAAGGGUGACCAAUGGCCUGGAGAGUAGCCUCUAAAUGGUUCACACGGGUAGACACACAGGCAUGUGUCUAGGCCGUGUGUGACAUAGGUUCAGCCCUAUUGGCGUGUCAUUCGGCCGUGUGUCCCCUGCA